RNAcentral lists this ribosomal RNA (622 nucleotides) under uncultured bacterium. RNAcentral describes it as "bacterial SSU rRNA". The stretch from base 1 to 522 matches the Rfam family "Bacterial small subunit ribosomal RNA", at positions 338 to 873 of the family's 1533-position model. The record is from RNAcentral.
CCUACGGGAGGCAGCAGUGGGGAAUAUUGGGCAAUGGGGGCAAACCCUGAUCCAGCAAUGCCGCGUGAGUGAUGAAGGCCUUCGGGUUGUAAAGCUCUUUUGUCAGGGACGAUAAUGACGGUACCUGACGAAUAAGCUCCGGCUAACUUCGUGCCAGCAGCCGCGGUAAUACGAAGGGAGCUAGCGUUGUUCGGAAUUACUGGGCGUAAAGGGCGCGUAGGCGGCUUUAUAAGUCAGAUGUGAAAUCCCUGGGCUUAACCUAGGAAUGGCAUUUGAUACUGUAAGGCUAGAGAUCGAGAGAGGAUAGUGGAAUUGCGAGUGUAGAGGUGAAAUUCGUAGAUAUUCGCAAGAACACCGGUGGCGAAGGCGGCUAUCUGGCUCGAUACUGACGCUAAGGCGCGAAAGCGUGGGGAGCAAACAGGAUUAGAUACCCUGGUAGUCCACGCUGUAAACGAUGAAUACUAGAUGUUGGGAGAGCAAUCUCUCAGUGUCGCAGCUACGACAGUUAAGUUAGUUACCGUCCGUCGGGUAGGUACGGUCGGCGUAAGUAAGUUAAACGUUAACGAAAGUAAAGUUAGUUACGGACGUUGAGACGNGCGACGGACGACGACGAGGGAGGAGG